UGGGGUAUGGUGUAAUUGGCAACACGCUAGAUUCUGAUUCUAGUAUUCCAGGUUCGAGUCCUGGUACCCCAGCCA
Molecule: transfer RNA, 75 nt
Filed under: Rhodospirillaceae bacterium
Lineage: Bacteria; Pseudomonadati; Pseudomonadota; Alphaproteobacteria; Rhodospirillales; Rhodospirillaceae
Description: tRNA-Gln
Rfam family: tRNA
About the family: Transfer RNA (tRNA) molecules are approximately 80 nucleotides in length. Their secondary structure includes four short double-helical elements and three loops (D, anti-codon, and T loops).
Source: RNAcentral